This 213-nucleotide long non-coding RNA is filed under the name Mytilus galloprovincialis (Mediterranean mussel). The record is from RNAcentral. Lineage: Eukaryota; Metazoa; Mollusca; Bivalvia; Mytilida; Mytilidae.
GGGGCAUAACUCUUUUACGAAUAAUUGAUUGGCACUAAUUUCGAACUCGUCAAAGACAUUGCUGAUAUAAACCUAUAGUAUAAGUUUUAUUAAAUUCUGGCGUGAAUUGUUUACAUGAGAACGCUUCCAAUACAAUUUUUAAUAUACUGAAGAUUUCAAAGGAGCGUAACACCUCUUUUAAAACUAAGUUAUCGGCACUUUUUUGGAAUCUCC